GACGCCACACCGACACCCCCGUGUGGGGCGGAUGAGAGUGGCGGGUUACCCCGGCAUCA
This 59-nucleotide small nucleolar RNA is filed under the name Thermoproteus tenax Kra 1. Its description in RNAcentral is "Pyrobaculum sRNA 205". It matches the Rfam family "Pyrobaculum sRNA 205". From Rfam's summary of the family: Non canonical pseudouridylation guide sRNA features. Lineage: Archaea; Thermoproteati; Thermoproteota; Thermoprotei; Thermoproteales; Thermoproteaceae. The record is from Rfam by way of RNAcentral.